GACAGUGCCCUGCAGACUGGUUGGAGGUCUCAGACAGGCCACACACUGAAUCCGUCAAGGUGUUCAACCUGUUUGAAAUGCUCGUUCCUCGGUGCUGUAAAGAAAUAGAACUUAAACUUAAAUUUAAUUUAUUUAGUAAGGCCAUUUUUACUUCCUGCAGAAAGGGUACACUCGCCAGCAGUUUUGCCAGGAGAGUACACUGAACAAAGGAGACAGGGUCAUUUAUAACGUGGCGCGUCCACCCUACUGCUGUGUCCGGUUUCCUUUGGCUGGAACGGGACCUCACAUUCUGUAUUUGUCCCGAUUGACUAGCAACAUAGAACUUUUUAAAAGAGGCAAAGGCAGAGGAGAACAAAGGAAGAAGGAAGUAACUUGUGGAAUGCUGAGAAAGGCAGCUUGGAUUAAUUAGGAGAAAGUCAAUUGCGCCAGCAAAUGGAAAUCUAGGAAGAAGCAAAUCCAUUGUUUGACUACUUAAUUGUCAUUGAUUUUGAAUCAACAUGCUGGAAUGAUGGGAAGCACCACCAUAGCCAGGAAAUAAGUAAGUCU
This 546-nucleotide small RNA is filed under the name Pan troglodytes (chimpanzee). Its description in RNAcentral is "processed transcript". The record is from RNAcentral. Lineage: Eukaryota; Metazoa; Chordata; Mammalia; Primates; Hominidae.